This is a long non-coding RNA of Ictalurus punctatus (channel catfish), 1436 nucleotides long. NCBI's taxonomy places the organism in Eukaryota, Metazoa, Chordata, Actinopteri, Siluriformes, Ictaluridae. The record is from Ensembl.
CGGGUCUGCAAUCUGAUCAGAGACACUUUUUCAUGAAAAGCAUUUUACUCGUUAAUAAAGGACGAGUUUAAACAUGACAAAAGGAGCAGAGCUGUAUUUAUCAUCAGAUAAACCCUCCUUAUUAUAACGCUACUCAUGCUGCGGUCAGAAAAAAUACUCUCAUGUGGGUCUUUGUGUUGGGGUUUUUAAGGGGGGUGAGCGUUAAAGGUUCUGUAUAGAACCCUGCAACUGGGUGUUCAGAACCCUUGAGGAAAGAGAGGAUUACUGAGGGUUUCAUGAAGGUUCUGAGGUUCCAAAGCUUUAUUGAUGGUAUAUUCAGAUUGUUAAGGGUUUAAUGAAAGUUCUGCGGGUUUAAAGAGGUUCUAAGGGUUAAAGGUCAGGUAUACAAUUGGGUUUACUGAGGGUAUAGUUAGGGGUUGAAUGAGGGUUUAAAUGACGGUUUACAGAGGGCCCUGAGGGUUUCAUGAGGGUUCUGAGGAUUUAAUGAGGGUUCUGAUGGUUUAAUGAGGGUUCUGAUGGUUUAAUGAGGGGUUCUGAUGGUUUAAUGAGGGUUCUGAGGAUUUAAUGAGGGUUCUGAGGAUUUAAUGAGGGUUCUGAGGUUGUAAUAUUUCAUUAUAAUACAUGCAGCUCUGUUCACUUCUGUCCACUGCAUAUUUAGAGGGAUUUAUAAAGCCGUGCUUCCUCACAGCUGCAAUUCUAAACAUCGCCAUGUAUUUUCUUGUUCUUUGAUUCACGGCAGUUUGGUGUUUAAACAGUGAAGUGAUAAUAAUUUUUCAGAAUUAUACGAUGAAUGGUGAAGAAGCUUUUUGGGUUUUGGCUGUAGGGGGAAAUUCGGCACUGUAAUUAACCGAGACGUGCUGUUUGUUGAAGCUAAUUGUGUUGGAUUUACGAAAAUGAAAAAGGAGGAGAUGGAGCUACCAGGCAAAUAUAACGCAAUUAACAUUCCUGUGUGGGAAAAAAAACAUUCCUGUGGGAAAUCUCCACCAUGUGAGAGGAAUAUUUCUCUUUCAAACCAUGCAGUAAAUGAGCAUCUGGCCUGUACGCUUCCUGUAGUGCGCACUACUUAGCAGACUUCUGUCCCACCACAUCCCGGUUUAUUACCGUUUAACCUGUGCUUAGUCUUUAAAAAUAAAUAUUCAUAAUUUUUAUAAGUAGGUUUCGAUCACUGUAUAUGUUAUAUCAUUAUAUUUGACAUUUUAAUCAGUAAUCCUUCAUCACUCAUAUCAGCUCUGAUAAAUGUUUUAUCUUGAAUUAAACAGCUCAGGAAUUUAUUCACAGAACUGCUGAGUAAGACGUCUCUAAUGUUCAGACAUUUCCAGAGUAAUGAAUAAUGAGUAGCUGAAAUAUAUAAUCUGUAAAUAUAUAAACCCCUAAAUCAUGUUUCUGCUCCAUUUUUUUUUUUUUGUUGUUGUAGUUUGUUUGUUAUACUGUGUUUU